UAGAGUUUGAUCCUGGCUCAGGAUGAACGCUGGCGGCGUGCCUAAUACAUGCAAGUCGAACGCACAGCGAAAGGUGCUUGCACCUUUCAAGUGAGUGGCGAACGGGUGAGUAACACGUGGAUAACCUACCUCAAGGUUGGGGAUAACAUUUGGAAACAGAUGCUAAUACCGAAUAAAACUUAGUAUCGCAUGAUACCAGGUUAAAAGGCGCUACGGCGUCACCUAGAGAUGGAUCCGCGGUGCAUUAGUUAGUUGGUGGGGUAAAGGCUUACCAAGACAAUGAUGCAUAGCCGAGUUGAGAGACUGAUCGGCCACAUUGGGACUGAGACACGGCCCAAACUCCUACGGGAGGCUGCAGUAGGGAAUCUUCCACAAUGGGCGAAAGCCUGAUGGAGCAACGCCGCGUGUGUGAUGAAGGCUUUCGGGUCGUAAAGCACUGUUGUAUGGGAAGAACAGCUAGAGUAGGGAAUGACUUUAGUUUGACGGUACCAUACCAGAAAGGGACGGCUAAAUACGUGCCAGCAGCCGCGGUAAUACGUAUGUCCCGAGCGUUAUCCGGAUUUAUUGGGCGUAAAGCGAGCGCAGACGGUUAAUUAAGUCUGAUGUGAAAGCCCGGAGCUCAACUCCGGAAAGGCAUUGGAAACUGGUUAACUUGAGUGCAGUAGAGGUAAGUGGAACUCCAUGUGUAGCGGUGGAAUGCGUAGAUAUAUGGAAGAACACCAGCGGCGAAGGCGGCUUACUGGACUGUAACUGACGUUGAGGCUCGAAAGUGUGGGUAGCAAACAGGAUUAGAUACCCUGGUAGUCCACACCGUAAACGAUGAACACUAGGUGUUAGGAGGUUUCCGC
RNAcentral lists this ribosomal RNA (848 nucleotides) under uncultured bacterium. RNAcentral's name for it is "bacterial SSU rRNA". It matches the Rfam family "Bacterial small subunit ribosomal RNA", at positions 1 to 837 of the family's 1533-position model. The record is from RNAcentral.